RNAcentral lists this ribosomal RNA (459 nucleotides) under uncultured bacterium. Its description in RNAcentral is "partial 16S ribosomal RNA". It matches the Rfam family "Bacterial small subunit ribosomal RNA", at positions 338 to 795 of the family's 1533-position model. The record is from RNAcentral.
CCUACGGGCGGCUGCAGUGAGGAAUAUUGGUCAAUGGCCGGAAGGCUGAACCAGCCAAGCCGCGUGAAGGAAGAAGGUGCCAAGCAUUGUAAACUUCUUUUGUCAAGGGACAAAAUCAGGCUCGAGAGCCUGACCGAGGGUACUUGAAGAAAAAGCAUCGGCCAACUCCGUGUCAGCAGCCGCGGUAAUACGGGGGAUGCGAGCGUUCGCCGGAUUUAUUGGGUUUAAAGGGGGCGUAGGGGGGCUGUUAAGUCAGCGGUAAAAGCCCGGGGCUCAACCCCGGCGAGCCGUUGAAACUGGCUGUCGUGAGAGGUCGAGAGUGAUGCGGAAUGCGCGGUGUAGCGGUGAAAUGCAUAGAUAUCGCGCAGAACCCCGAUUGCGAAGGCAGCGUGCCGUGCCGCCACUGACGCUGAGGCACGAAAGCGCGGGGAUCGAACAGGAUUAGAUACCCGAGUAGGC